Molecule: long non-coding RNA, 2524 nt
Organism: Schistocerca nitens (vagrant locust)
Lineage: Eukaryota; Metazoa; Arthropoda; Insecta; Orthoptera; Acrididae
Exons: 6
Source: RefSeq, a predicted model, not a curated record
CCUACGGCUCUCAGCUUCCGGUUGUUGUUGGUCGAACACAUGUGUUAUGUGUAUCAGUAUAACGGCUAUGCGGGGAACUUGAGAUUGGCUACUUGUGCCAUGCCAACAUCAAAUUUGGAGCAAGUGGAAGUUCUUUCCAUUGAGUAUGUUGAGAACAGCCUGCACCAGGAAGGUCCAGGAUGAGCAGGUGAUGGCAUGGAGGUGAUGGGACAGGAGCAGGGAUAAAUUGAGCUGUUUAUGAGAAAGAUUGUCUACUCCUACAAAAAGCUCAUUGUGUGAUAAUGUUUUGCAUCUGCCACAGCAGCCAGCCAUGUUAUCAGUCAAAAAUGAAGAUGAAAACAGCAACUCAAAUAAGGUCAUGGCAGCAAAUGCACAAAGACUGAAUGAUGGAAAGCCACUGAGCACUACGUGGAAAUGUGGUUACUUGCCCCCUCUACCUGGCCAUUAAGUGCCUCGUGCAUUAAAGCUUCCAGAGCACACAGUGGCAAGGGGCAGGCUUAUACACUUGUAGACCACCUAAUGGAAGGAUCGAAGAUAUGCUGUAUCAGUGUGGAUUAAGGUGAAAUGUAAGAAAUGGAGCAUUAAUUAAAUAGAACUGCACCUUUCAAGUUUUUUGAUGCAGUGUGUUUUUGGUGUGGUUGAUGUCUCAAGAUGGCUUAGAGUAUCAUGUCAUAAGACUUGGGGUCCAAUUUCAAAAGAUACCAGCAUGUGGAAGAUGAAAACAUACAGGAUGUCAUGACGUGUAAAAGUUGUAAUGGGCUGCAGAAUCAGUGGCAGUUUGCUGUUGCUAAAGGGUAUUCUUUUCUGGGAAUACAAUGGACAAACAGAACAAGAUAAAUGUUUGUAGCCAAGUAGGCAUAUUGCCCAACCCUGAGCAACGAGAUAUGCUAGAAUUAUGAAGAACAUAGCUACUAGGCCAUCAGUGAAUAGUGCCAUGGGAUCUUGUCAAACAAGUUGUGAUUCUGUUUACCAUCCAGUCACAACAAUUCGUGAUCUGGAAAGGGAAACAUACUGCACAGCUUAAAAAAGAGGUUGAAAUAAUGAUGGGAGCUAGUCCCGAACAGGAGUUGCUGUUUCUGACACCCAAAGCACUGAUUUAGUUCAUGCUGUCAUCCAACAGAACAUGCAUAAGCAGUAAUUAGAAGUAACACCAGAACUACAGAGAACAGGACAUGUGUGUCUGUGAGUCAUUGUUUUGUAGAUCUUGCAUGGAUGAGGGAGCGUGAGGUGGUUGUACCAAAGGUCCCACUGAUUACAAUUUUUGUAACUGUUUCCUGACACAUAAAAGGGUGUUUUAGAGUUUGUAGUGAUGUUCCUUUGGCAGCCUGCUUUCACUUAAUUGAAGUAGCAAACCUAUAGAGUACAUUUGUAUAGAAAGGUGUGGUGUCCUGUCGGACAUGUGAUAGAACAGACAAUACUCAUGAUAAAGCAGCUAGUGCAUUUGUAGUUUCACAGACUAUACAUAAUCAAAACAGAAAAAGGAAACAACUAUCACAUGUUCAGAAGUAUUAAUAGUGCUAGUGUUAGUAAUAAUAAUAAUGAUUGCAGAUGAUAGUGCUGCCAUACAUCAGCUUUGUGUGUUGUCUAGAGACUUUACUUUGUGCCAUAUCACAAGGUAUGAAGUGCAAUGGAAUGUUCGGGGAACAGAGUGGUGAGUUCCAAUUGAUGUUCUGGCCCCCAACCAGAUGUGAACCUGAUUGGACACCUGGGAUGUUACUGAACGUGGCGUCAGAGCUAGUCAUCUCCCUUCCUCAAAUUUACAGGAAUCUGGUGACUUGUAUGCAGAUGUGUCAACUCCCUCCAGCAACCUUCCUGUGUCUGAUUGCUUCCAUGCCACGAUUUGUGUCACUGCUGUUAUCUGUGCCAAAGGUGGACAAACUAUAUUGUAAGCUGUAAAGUAAAAUUUUUUGUUACACUGAAAAUGUACCACAACAGAAACGACAUCCAGAAAAUGGUAGAUAACUGGCAACAAGCAGCUCAUGCACUCAUGACGGCCUAUAAAGACACAAAUGUCUAUAAUGCCGACUAAAGUGGAUUUAACAAGGAGAUGACUGUGGGCCGCACUCUAGCACCCAGAGGUGCUAAAGAUAUUGUAGGAUUUGUACAGUUUGUUCACGUGACAACUCAUAUGUACAUAAUUACUGCAUCACUUUCACAGAGGGGCAGACUUGCUCUAAAGCUUUUGUUGCAAUUAAAGAGUUUCGUUCCUUGAGUAUUCAUACACAUCAGUCUGUGUUCCCAACACCAAAUUUAACUGUCCACUCUCACUCCUCCAGCAAAAUGACCAAAGAACUGUUGAGGACGUUUUUACAAGAAAUGGCAGUGGAAAAAAUCAGCGGAGAGAAACUUCUGCUUGUACUGGAUUUUUAACCCUUAACCAGAAUCGAUAUUUUGACAAACAUAACUGGGAUCGUGGGUCCAAAUGGACCCCUGAAUAAAAAUCCAACAUAAUCCCUAGAAAAGAUAUAAUUCAUAUGUAAAUAUGUAAUGAUUAUAUUAAAAUAAGUUUUGUUUCAAACAUAAA